UACGUAGGGCGCAAGCGUUGUCCGGAAUUAUUGGGCGUAAAGAGCUCGUAGGCGGCUUGUCACGUCGGAUGUGAAAGCCCGAGGCUUAACCUCGGGUCUGCAUUCGAUACGGGCUAGCUAGAGUGUGGUAGGGGAGACUGGAAUUCCUGGUGUAGCGGUGAAAUGCGCAGAUAUCAGGAAGAACACCAAUGGCGAAAGCAGCUCUCUGGGACGGUACUGACGCUGAGACGCGAAAGCGUGGGGAGCGAACAGG
RNAcentral lists this ribosomal RNA (253 nucleotides) under uncultured bacterium. RNAcentral's name for it is "partial 16S ribosomal RNA". It matches the Rfam family "Bacterial small subunit ribosomal RNA", at positions 524 to 776 of the family's 1533-position model. The record is from RNAcentral.